Long non-coding RNA from Xiphophorus couchianus (Monterrey platyfish), 912 nucleotides. RefSeq lists it as uncharacterized. The transcript is spliced from 2 exons. The record is from RefSeq and is a predicted model, not a curated record. NCBI's taxonomy places the organism in Eukaryota, Metazoa, Chordata, Actinopteri, Cyprinodontiformes, Poeciliidae.
UACUACAAUCUGAACAAGAUUAGAACAAAAGGCUUUCAUAAUUGCAUUAAUCUAAAAUAACUUGACUUGUUUAAGCUUUACAAAUAAUUGUGCUCCUGUUCUUUUCUUGGUCAGAAUAUUUUCGUUACAUUUCUGCCUCCAGCCAGUCUUACGCAAUCCAGGCUUUGUUUAUUGAAGUCAAAUUUUUUGGCUAGUUUAUGUUGAGUUGUGACCAACUCUGUGCAAGUUUCCUGAACCAAACUCUGAGGACUCAGAUAAAAAGAGUAUGAUGAGAGUUUGAGCAAAAAGGCAGCAGAAGAUGGACUGACAGACCAGAAAAGACAUUGUGACAGAGUCCCAGUAGAGAUGCCACCAGCCAGUCUGAGAGGGACUGCGUGUCGAGAUAUUCCCUAACAGCAGCGUCAGAGAUGGAAGAGUGAAAACUACACCUGCUGAAGUCCAAAUUCAGUUCCCAAAGAGAAAUGACACCAUAAACUGAUUUGAGACCAGAGUAAAAACACUUUUCCAUCAGUUUUAUUGGUGGCCAGAGACGAUGGAUCCGAGGUAGAACACUACAAAUCUUCUUUUCUCACAUAUGUAUUUGUAGUUAUGUGGACAUUUUAUCUUUAAAUGUCUACAAGCAAUUAAUAGAGUAUGUCUGUAAAGUGCUGGAAGUUCAUGUCUUGUUUAAUCUGUUAAAGAAAAAUAGUUUUUCACUGUUUUUUACAUCAUCACCACAAGCUAUGCACACAUUUCAAAAACUAACUCCAUCAAGACUCACUGGUUUUACUGGAUGAACAGCGACACCCUGAGGAGGUUAACAGAUGUUACACCACAUCACAGAAUUAAAGACAAAUAUAUAUAUGUAUAUAUAUUAUUCUGUUUUGUACCUAUAUCUGCUGUGCAUUUAGAUCAAUAAAUGUAUUGACUUUC